UGCGUAGGUGGUGAGGUAAGUCGGAUGUGAAAGCUCGGAGCUCAACUCCGAAAUGGCAUUGGAAACUACCUUGCUUGAGGAUUGGAGGGGGACUGGAAUACUUGGUGUAGCAGUGAAAUGCGUAGAUAUCAAGUGGAACACCAGUGGCGAAGGCGAGUCCCUGGACAAUUCCUGACACUGAGGCACGAAAGCUAGGGGAGCAAACA
This 206-nucleotide ribosomal RNA is filed under the name uncultured Verrucomicrobiota bacterium. RNAcentral's name for it is "uncultured Verrucomicrobia bacterium partial 16S ribosomal RNA". It matches the Rfam family "Bacterial small subunit ribosomal RNA", at positions 568 to 774 of the family's 1533-position model. Lineage: Bacteria; Pseudomonadati; Verrucomicrobiota. The record is from RNAcentral.